This 903-nucleotide long non-coding RNA is filed under the name Theobroma cacao (cacao). RNAcentral's name for it is "long non-coding RNA (TCAC_LNC006450)". Lineage: Eukaryota; Viridiplantae; Streptophyta; Magnoliopsida; Malvales; Malvaceae. The record is from RNAcentral.
AUACACUGUCACAUGAUGACCAAAUUGCUAAAGGAAGUUUACACUUUGAUGCAUCGGUCGGAACCCAAGCUAAGAGCAUAUACGGUCAAUAUGGUGAAGUGGAAGUAUACGUCACUUUUGAGUGAUCGAGGAAGCAAUACCCCCUUUACCUAACCUUGCCUACCGAUCGGUCAGUUGGGAUACAUAGUAAAUAAAUGGUGUGAGAAGAGGAGGAAUAUUGUUAUGCCGUAAUAUACACACACACACAUAUAUAUAUAUAUAUAUAUAUAUUUUGAAUUGUUGGCAAGAGUUGUGUCUCUGUUAGUGGAUGCUAUCUGUUUUAUUUUGUUUGGAAAUUGGAUGUAAUGCAAAACCAAAUGGGACCAAACAAUAUGUUACUUUUCAAAUAAUAAUAAUAAUAAUGAUAACAAUAUGUCCCAAACUCCAAAUGCCAAUCAUAUUUAAGACAAACUUGCAGACUUCCUAGUUUUAGUUUUUGAAAAGAAGACUAUACAAGGAAAAAGCAUAACAAUUGUAGUUUAAAAUAAAUGACGUGAAGAGCAUCAUUAUAAUCUUGAUGAUGUUCGGGAAGAACUUGGCUUGAAGGCUAUAGGAAUUCCAUUCAGUGAAGAUCACAAUAGUUGCAAAAUUCCAUUCCAUCUCAUGUAAUCGGUGUUUCUCCUACUAUUUCCGGUUUUUCUUCUAUUCUUGCUCACAUCUCUAAAAUUUUAUCUCCUACCUAAGAUCCUAUCUAAGAUCGUAUAGAGAUGCAAUCCCUAUCUUAAUCUAAAAGAUUAAGACUCACUCCAUAUUUAUAGAGCCGUGUUUCUUUGUCACCAUGAAUUUCUACUCAUUAAAAACUCUCUAUCAUUAAGUAUAUUUACCCUUUAAAUAAACUUAAUCAUCAAAUAAUUUUCAACGAAU